CCCCUAGAUAGGCUUCCGCAAGAAACCCUUGCAGCGGAAGAAUCCGAGGCGCGUGGGCGUGACUUCCCUUCGCCUUCCUCGUGCCGAAGCCGUUCCGGUUCUUCGCAAAACCCUAGAAGAUGUCGGGUGGAUUCUUCCGGGGAACCUCGGCGGAUCAGGACGCUCGCUUCUCCAACAAGCAAGCGAAGCUUUUGAAGUCACAAAAAUUCGCACCGGAGCUCGAUCACGUGGUGGAUAUGACGAAGGUACAGAUGGAUGUGAUAAGGCCAUGGAUCGCAACGAGGGUGACUGAGCUCCUUGGAUUCGAAGACGAAGUCCUCAUUAACUUUGUUUAUGGUCUUCUGGAUGGCAAGGAGGUGGACGGGAAGCAGAUGCAGAUCCAGCUUACUGGGUUUAUGGAGAAAAAUACUGGGAAGUUCAUGAAGGAGCUCUGGGGUCUACUGCUUAGUGCUCAGAAUAAUGCCAGCGGGGUUCCUCAGCAGUUUUUGGAUGCCAAGAAAGAGGAAACAGAUAAAAGAAAGGCGGAGACUGAUAGAAUUGCUCAGGAAAUUCAACAGAGAAAAGAGAAAGAGGGAAGAGAGUUAGAACAAGAGAAACAGAGGAGGAUGGACGGGGCAGCUGACAAGUCGAGGUCUUCUACUGCGGUUUUGGGUUCAGUUUCAAAGCGAUCACCGCGAAUGGCUUUUAGUGUUCACCCUGAGGAUGAUAGAGAAGUGGACACUGGGCACGAUUCAAGAUCAAAAAGCCAGGAAGGACGUAAAUCAAGGAGCGUAUCUGGUUCGUCUCAGUCUCAAAGGUAUUCAAUUUCUCCUAAGAGGCGGCAUCGCUCACCAUCCAAACGGUCUAUAUCUUCUGAGAGGCGAUACAGAUCUCCACCUCGACGGUCCAUUUCUCCUCGCCGCAGGCAUUCACCACGGUACGCUCGAUCACCUUUAAGACAAAGAUCACCUCAUACUAGGCGAAGAUCAGUUUCACUCUCCAGGCACCGAUCUCCCUCUCCUGUCCGGCGGAGAUCUCCUUAUGCACGAAGAAGAUCUCCAUCAUAUGCAUGGCGCAGAUCUCCUCCCUUGCGUCGUAGGUCUCCAGUUCAAGUCCGCAGGAGAUCACCUUCUCCCUCUCGUUAUAGGUCCCCUAUCCGACGCAAGUCUUUGUCACCAGCAAGGCGCAGAUCCCCAUCUCCUUUAAGGAGAAGAUCGCCCCCACCUAGGUCUCCAAAGCACCGAAGAAGGUCACCUCUGUGUUCACCAAGAAGUCGUGUCAGGGAUUAUGAAACAUCUCCACGGCAAAGAAAGAGGAGGCGCAGUCCAUAUAGGAGCCGGAGUCCGUCAUAUCCAUCUCAGAGUUCGAGCAAGGAGAUUGAUAACCGUAUUGAGGGCAUUGAUUCCAAAUAUUAUCGUGAUGGAUACACAUCUCAGAGGUCUCGUGAAAAAAAGUUACCUGUUCAUCAUACCGUGGAUAGGGCAGCGACUGAACGCCCUGUCUCAGGACGCAAGGUUUCAGAAUCACGCCGACUUCCAAUUUCUUCAAGGUCUCCCAAACGUGAUUCAAGAAAUCAAAAUGACAUUCAUGAUAGGGAGCAUGGUGUAACAUCUGAAGAAUCUCCAAAUCAGUCAGAGUCACCAUCCCGUUUGCGAAGAAUAGCCCCAAGAGGAAUUAGAUCUUGUAGCCCUUCGGAGAGUCCUGUUAAACAAACUAGAAGACAGAUGCCUCGUCGUGACAGUCCAGAAACAAAUAGAGAAAGAGAACAACCCAGUUAUGGCAGGGAGGAUGCUUAUCAUAGGUCUGAUUCCUCGUGCAAGAAAAGAAGAGAUUCACCUGCUAAUGUGCAGCAAAAGGAUUCCCACGCCAAGGACUUCAGUCCACAAGAGUAUUCUUCUGGAAGAUUGGCUGAUGACUACUCUCCAGCUGCCCAAGGUCAAGCUCGUAACUUGGAAAUCAGAAAGAAGGAACAUGAGGAAAAUAGUGAAGAAGAUCUUCCUGAAAGGCAUAAACGGCUAGUAUUACAAUCACCAGAACAAAUAGAAUAUGGUCCUGGAAGAAUAGUAGAUGAAAGCUAUCCACCAGAUAACUUCUAUGAUAGACAGCGUUUGGCUAAGAAACAUGUGAGAGAUGCAUCUUCAGAGGAAAGGGUAUCCAAUGAGCACACAGUGAAGAGCAUCUAUGGUGAUGGUUAUGCAGUUAAAGCUGCAAAACAAUCACGUUCAAAAAGUGAUGAGUAUAGGGAAUCACGUUAUGAAACAGAAUCUGAUAAAAAGUUCAAGAAAAAGGUGGACCAGAGCAACCAGUUCGAUACCCAUGAUUCUGAUUCUGAAGAAAUUGGUGCCCAUAGAUACCAGGAGAUGGAAAAGCGAAGGCGCAAAAGGUCUGAUAAGCAUAAAAGAGAUUUGGACGACAGUUCUGAGUCUGAUUUUCAGAUAGAUGACAAGAAGGAGGCCAAGAGAAGAAGGAAAGAUGAGAAAAGGCUACGCAAGGAGGAGAGGCGUCGCAGGCGUGAAGAGAGGCAUCGCAGAAAGUUAGAACGUCGUGCAGGCAAGCAUAAAGUGAAGUCUGUGGAUACUGUUACUCCCCCUUCAGAUUUGGAGAAAAUUUAUAAUGAUGCUGAUGGAUCAAAUGAUGAUGGUGCCAUAGGAAAGCAUCCUCAUCUAGGUGACAUAGAAGAAACAGAGUCGGAGCAGAAGAAGCUUGAGAUCGAGCUGCGAGAAAAGGCCCUAGAAUCUCUCAGAGCAAAGAAGGCUAUCAGUCAUUAAAUUAGAAUAUCUGACUUUUGCUUUUUACCAUGCAUUCAUAUGUUCUGUAGAAUGAGAUAUUCACCAUAAGGUGUGAGCAUAUCCUUUCAUAUAGCAGACUGUUUGAUGGAACCUGUGUUUAUUCUGGCAGCUGAAGUGGAUAAAUGAGGAUUCCUGAGCUGUAUUUUGUGGCAUCCUAGUUCAGACUUAGCUGCUAGAUUUUCUGGAUUUCAUAUGGUGAUCAUUGUAGUGCAAGUUUAGUACAUUUCCAGUUGAAAACUCUUACAAGAUGAGAAUAUUUUCAAGUAAGACUUGGUAGAGCUGGCAAUGUGCAGAACCACCUUUAGAACCUCAAAUCAGCUGGACUCGUUUUGUGGACUUCGUAAAUAUGCAUCGGGGUGCUAUAAGCUUCCAUCACAUCAUAGCUUCAUAGUCAUGCCAAGCUGAUAAUUCCCUUUAUGGAAGUCGUUCCAGUGUGGAUCGUGCUUUUGGGAUAGAUGGUACCGUUGCGCGGUGGUUGUAGCAGUUCAAUCUGGUGCUAGAGUUGCCGUCCUGCUAGAUUUUGCGUUGGGUUUAUGAUAACUAAUGGAGAAUUACUUUGCAAAAGAAAAACUGGAAAAGUAUGAGUGGAAACAUGCGAAUUAAGUGGAAAGACUCAUUUGGUGUGGAUGAUUAAAUAGAUAAUCUAAAUACGAUAUAUGUUUAA
Molecule: non-coding RNA, 3432 nt
Organism: Phoenix dactylifera (date palm)
Lineage: Eukaryota; Viridiplantae; Streptophyta; Magnoliopsida; Arecales; Arecaceae
Source: RefSeq, a predicted model, not a curated record